RNAcentral lists this transfer RNA (66 nucleotides) under Hydroscapha granulum. Its description in RNAcentral is "tRNA-Tyr". It matches the Rfam family "tRNA". From Rfam's summary of the family: Transfer RNA (tRNA) molecules are approximately 80 nucleotides in length. The record is from RNAcentral. Lineage: Eukaryota; Metazoa; Arthropoda; Insecta; Coleoptera; Hydroscaphidae.
GGUAAAAUGGCCGAGACUAGGCGUUAAACUGUAAAUUUAUUUACGUAAUUAAAAUUACUUUUACCA